CUGGCAUGUUCUCUUCUCUCGUCUCCUUUUUUAUAUUCAUUCUCGUUGGCCAGGCUUCCUGUCAUCUUCUCUCUCAUCAGCUGCAGAUCCCGAGAUCUCCGGGUGUUUCUCCGUCGAAUAAUCUGUUCCGAUUAUUCCGGAAGAUAUUCCUUCAAUUUGGGCUUCUCAACUCUAAGCACAUCUUCGAUCUCGAUCCAUCAAUUCGAAUUCGUUAUCACUCUAAAUAUUGAUAUAUUUUUGAUCAGGCUCGAGGUCGAGAUCCGAUUCUUUUCUAAACAUGGAACGGGCCCACGCCGUUAUUGGGCCAUGUCGAGAUUUGUGUCCAACACAUAUAUCUAUAAUAUGCAUAUCUUAAUUAUCUUUUUUUUUUUUUUUUUUUUUUUUUUUUUUUUUUUUUUUUUUUUUUUUUUUUUUUUUUUUUUUUUUUUUUUUUUUUUUUUUUUUUUUUUUUUUUUUUUUUUUUUUUUUUUUUUUUUUUUUUUUUUUUUUUUUGAAUGAAUGCUAAAUUUUAUUCAUCAAAAACCUUUUUACAUCAAGUGAGACUUUAUAUGAAAAGAAGACUACUCCUAUUUCUUUACACUUCCUUUACUAGAGAACCAAAAUUUCUACCUGAAAUCUGUAUUUACAUCCUAGUACCAAACCAGUAUUGCAGACUCACUUCAAGCCCUCCUAUUCCCUUCGACUGUACCAAGCUGAGUUUGUUUCUGAUGGCUUUGUCGAUGUGUUUUGUCAAGACAGUAGCAGGCAUAGACUGUUCACCAUGCCGUCUUCUGUUUCUCUCUCUCCACAACAUGUAGACAGUAGCUUGAAGAGUGUACCUGAAACAAAACUGUUUCUUCUUCAUAUCUUAAUUAUCAAUAUUAAAAAGAUAAGGGUUUCUACAAAUGAUAGCACUCC
Molecule: long non-coding RNA, 897 nt
Filed under: Brassica napus (rape)
Lineage: Eukaryota; Viridiplantae; Streptophyta; Magnoliopsida; Brassicales; Brassicaceae
Description: long non-coding RNA (BNAP_LNC018451)
Source: RNAcentral